This is a long non-coding RNA of Tupaia belangeri chinensis (Chinese tree shrew), 380 nucleotides long. RefSeq lists it as uncharacterized. The record is from RefSeq and is a predicted model, not a curated record. The transcript has 3 exons. Lineage: Eukaryota; Metazoa; Chordata; Mammalia; Scandentia; Tupaiidae.
GUGGCUCCGGCGCGCUCAGGGCUCCGGUCCCUGGCCCUGUCCUCACCUGUGUCACGUGCGCGGCCCUUCCCUCCCCCACGUCAGCGCCUAGUUUGAGGCAGGGGUACGGGGGGCUGUACUACGGUGCUUUCUGGUGUGAGAGCAUGGAGACAAGAAAACCCCACGAAUAGAAAAGUCCUUCCUUCAGUUAAUUCAAUGACUCAGCAGACCGAUCCGUCCCUCUUCAGAUUCCAGCUUGUUAGAGGCAGGUUUCCAGAGCGAGCUCGUUAGUGACAAGGAGCUGGGCAUUUUCAUGGAUCCUGAAACCAAGCCUACCAUGCAGAAUCACGCUCCCAUCAGCAAAGAAAGAGAUCUUCAGUGUCCCUCUGCAAGACUUCAGC